UUAGAUUUUUUCCUGUACUGCUCCAACAACUGGAAAGUUGAACGAUACGAUCAAAUUUGAAUUCGAUUGAAGAGUGCACAAAAUGGUAAAGGAAGUAGCGUAAAUGCAGAUGCUCCAGUGGAUAGCGCGAGCUUCAAACCAAAUGCUAUUGCGAGAUUGCUUUCAGGCAUUGGCACAGUGAAUGGCAGCUGAAAAAUUUUGACCCUUGUUUCUGGAAGUGAAAUGUUAGAUGUAAGUAAUGAUGUCUGAGACCCUUAUCACACGGCAUUUGUUUCACAUGAACAACUUGUUUCGGACAAUUUUUCUGCCUGGUUUACUAUUGAAAGAAAGACAUGCAACGUUUUCCUUCCUUUCUAAAAAAA
This is a long non-coding RNA of Stegodyphus dumicola, 362 nucleotides long. The record is from RefSeq and is a predicted model, not a curated record. Lineage: Eukaryota; Metazoa; Arthropoda; Arachnida; Araneae; Eresidae.